Molecule: ribosomal RNA, 1459 nt
Filed under: uncultured Fibrobacter sp.
Lineage: Bacteria; Pseudomonadati; Fibrobacterota; Fibrobacteria; Fibrobacterales; Fibrobacteraceae
Description: bacterial SSU rRNA
Rfam family: Bacterial small subunit ribosomal RNA
Source: RNAcentral
AGAGUUUGAUCCUGGCUCAGGAUGAACGCUAGCUACAGGCUUAACACAUGCAAGUCGAGGGGCAGCAUGACAGGUGCUUGCACUUGUUGAUGGCGACCGGCGCACGGGUGCGUAACACGUAUCCAAUCUACCCAUGGCUCAGGGAUAGCCUUGCGAAAGUAAGAUUAAUACCUGAUGGUUUCAGACUCCGGCAUCGGGGUAUGAAUAAAGAUUUAUCGGCGAUGGAUGAGGAUGCGUCUGAUUAGAUAGUAGGCGGGGUAACGGCCCACCUAGUCAACGAUCAGUAGGGGUUCUGAGAGGAAGGUCCCCCACAUUGGAACUGAGACACGGUCCAAACUCCUACGGGAGGCAGCAGUGAGGAAUAUUGGUCAAUGGGCGAGAGCCUGAACCAGCCAAGUAGCGUGCAGGAAGACGGCCCUAUGGGUUGUAAACUGCUUUUAUGCGGGGAUAAAGUCAGUUACGCGUAACUGUUUGUAGGUACCGCAUGAAUAAGGACCGGCUUAUUCCGUGCCAGCAGCCGCGGUAAUACGGAAGGUCCGGGCGUUAUCCGGAUUUAUUGGGUUUAAAGGGUGCGCAGGCGGGCUGCUAAGUCUCCGGUGAAAUGUCAGGGCUCAACCUUGGCACUGCCGGAGAUACUGGCGGCCUUGAGAGUGGCGGAGGUAUCCGGAAUGUGUGGUGUAGCGGUGAAAUGCAUAGAUAUCACACAGAACACCGAUUGCGAAGGCAGGAUACCAUACCAUAUCUGACGCUGAGGCACGAAAGCGUGGGGAUCGAACAGGAUUAGAUACCCUGGUAGUCCACGCAGUAAACGAUGAAUGCUCGCGGUUCGCGACAGACAGUGAGCCGCCCAGCGAAAGCGUUAAGCAUUCCACCUGGGGAGUACGCCGGCAACGGUGAAACUCAAAGGAAUUGACGGGGGCCCGCACAAGCGGAGGAACAUGUGGUUUAAUUCGAUGAUACGCGAGGAACCUUACCCGGGCUUGAAAGUUAGUGACGGUACUGGAAACAGUACUUUCCGCAAGGACACGAAACUAGGUGCUGCAUGGUUGUCGUCAGCUCGUGCCGUGAGGCGUCGGCUCAAGUGCCAUAACGAGCGCAACCCUUGCCUACAGUUGCCAUCGGGCGCAGCCGGGGACUCUGUAGGGACUGCCACCGCAAGGUGCGAGGAAGGGGGGGAUGACGUCAAAUCAGCACGGCCCUUACGUCCGGGGCGACACACGUGUUACAAUGGCCGGUACAGAGAGAAGCGAAGCGGCGACGCCGAGCAGACCCCAGAAAGCCGGCCCCAGUACGGAUUGGAGUCUGCAACCCGACUCCAUGAAGCUGGAUUCGCUAGUAAUCGCGCAUCAGCCAUGGCGCGGUGAAUACGUUCCCGGGCCUUGUACACACCGCCCGUCAAGCCAUGAAAGUCUGGGGCGCCUGAAGUCCGUGACCGAGAGGAGCGGCCUAGGGCGAAACA